RNAcentral lists this ribosomal RNA (1343 nucleotides) under uncultured bacterium. Its description in RNAcentral is "16S ribosomal RNA". It matches the Rfam family "Bacterial small subunit ribosomal RNA", at positions 28 to 1378 of the family's 1533-position model. The record is from RNAcentral.
GACGAACGCUGGCGGCGUGCUUAACACAUGCAAGUCGAACGGAAAGGCCCUGCUUUUGUGGGGUGCUCGAGUGGCGAACGGGUGAGUAACACGUGAGUAACCUGCCCUUGACUUUGGGAUAACUUCAGGAAACUGGGGCUAAUACCGGAUAGGAGCUCCUGCUGCAUGGUGGGGGUUGGAAAGUUUCGGCGGUUGGGGAUGGACUCGCGGCUUAUCAGCUUGUUGGUGGGGUAGUGGCUUACCAAGGCUUUGACGGGUAGCCGGCCUGAGAGGGUGACCGGCCACAUUGGGACUGAGAUACGGCCCAGACUCCUACGGGAGGCAGCAGUGGGGAAUAUUGCACAAUGGGCGGAAGCCUGAUGCAGCAACGCCGCGUGCGGGAUGACGGCCUUCGGGUUGUAAACCGCUUUCGCCUGUGACGAAGCGUGAGUGACGGUAAUGGGUAAAGAAGCACCGGCUAACUACGUGCCAGCAGCCGCGGUGAUACGUAGGGUGCGAGCGUUGUCCGGAUUUAUUGGGCGUAAAGGGCUCGUAGGUGGUUGAUCGCGUCGGAAGUGUAAUCUUGGGGCUUAACCCUGAGCGUGCUUUCGAUACGGGUUGACUUGAGGAGGGUAGGGGAGAAUGGAAUUCCUGGUGGAGCGGUGGAAUGCGCAGAUAUCAGGAGGAACACCAGUGGCGAAGGCGGUUCUCUGGGCCUUUCCUGACGCUGAGGAGCGAAAGCGUGGGGAGCGAACAGGCUUAGAUACCCUGGUAGUCCACGCUGUAAACGGUGGGUACUAGGUGUGGGGUCCAUUCCACGGGUUCCGUGCCGUAGCUAACGCUUUAAGUACCCCGCCUGGGGAGUACGGCCGCAAGGCUAAAACUCAAAGGAAUUGACGGGGCCCCGCACAAGCGGCGGAGCAUGCGGAUUAAUUCGGUGCAACGCGUAGAACCUUACCUGGGUUUGACAUGGAUCGGGAGUGCUCAGAGAUGGGUGUGCCUCUUUUGGGGUCGGUUCACAGGUGGUGCAUGGCUGUCGUCAGCUCGUGUCGUGAGAUGUUGGGUUAAGUCCCGCAACGAGCGCAACCCUUGUUCACUGUUGCCAGCACGUUAUGGUGGGGACUCAGUGGAGACCGCCGGGGUCAACUCGGAGGAAGGUGGGGAUGACGUCAAGUCAUCAUGCCCCUUAUGUCCAGGGCUUCACGCAUGCUACAAUGGCUGGUACAGAGAGUGGCGAGCCUGUGAGGGUGAGCGAAUCUCGGAAAGCCGGUCUCAGUUCGGAUUGGGGUCUGCAACUCGACCUCAUGAAGUCGGAGUCGCUAGUAGUCGCAGAUCAGCAACGCUGCGGUGAAUACGUUCCCGGG